GACGAACGCUGGCGGCGUGCUUAACACAUGCAAGUCGAACGGAAAGGCCCUGCUUUUGUGGGGUGCUCGAGUGGCGAACGGGUGAGUAACACGUGAGUAACCUGCCCUUGACUGUGGGAUAACUUCAGGAAACUGGGGAUAAUACAGGAUAGGAGCUCCUGCUGCAUGGUGGGGGUUGGAAAGCUUCGGCGGUUGGGGAUGGACUCGCGGCUUAUCAGCUUGUUGGUGGGGUAGUGGCUUACCAAGGCUUUGACGGGUAGCCGGCCUGAGAGGGUGACCACGGACAUUGGGACUAAGGUACGGCCCAGAGGCCUACGGGGGGCAGCGGUGGAGAAUAUUGCACAGUGGGCCGGCGCCUGAGGCAGCGGCGCCGCGUGCGGGAUGACGGCCUUCGGGUGGUAAACCGCUUUCGCCUGUGACGAAGCGUGAGUGACGGUAAUGGGUAAAGAAGCACCGGCUAACUACGUG
This 468-nucleotide ribosomal RNA is filed under the name uncultured bacterium. Its description in RNAcentral is "partial 16S ribosomal RNA". It matches the Rfam family "Bacterial small subunit ribosomal RNA", at positions 28 to 507 of the family's 1533-position model. The record is from RNAcentral.